GCCUCUGUUAGGCAUUGAGAAUGUUUAUCUGUGUUGCCUGUGGAAUUUUCAUUAAAAGGAAUGUGUAUUUUCAGUAUGAACUUGCAUCACGGAGCAGCCUCUGUGUUUAGGAUUAUUUCCGGAGCUCUAAAAUGAAACAAUGUUCAAAUUCAGGUUAUAGGCACUUGGUUUUGUUUUUCCUAAUAGCCCCUUCCCAGACCAAGGAUUUUAUAGUAAAUAUCCAAGUCAGUUAAUAGUUAUUUUGAGAAGGAUAUCAUAAUGCAAAGUAAGUUUCUCAGUUUGGUAUGUUGUUGUAGAAUAAAUCAUUGGAAUCACUAUUAUUUCAUUAUUGCUUAGAUGAUCUUGACUUUUUUUUCCUAUGAAAAUACUACAGAACUUUACACAGUGUCUUCUGUUCCAGUGCAGCCAUCCAGUGUGGCAUUGGUGGUAUAGUGGUGAGCGCUAAGUUCAGCUGUCUGCAACUAUUAAGUGCACUUACUAAUACAAAGUGGCACGCACACACACACCUUUGCAUAUUAAUGAUUUUAAUUUUCUAUAGAUGUCUACAUGACACACAGAUUGAUUACAAGUUGUCCAACUCUGAUGAAUUACAGCUGAAUAGACUUGAAUUGGAAAAGUUGUAAACUUCUACCAAAUUAAAUAACAGAAGGAUAGAUAGUACAGUCUUUUAUCAGCAUAAUUGUCAUAUAUUAAUAAUUGGUGUUCAUCAAAAGUGGAAUCAUCUACAUGAACAAACUUACAGUUACCUAUAAACCCUUCUCCAAAGCCAAAGAUACUUCUUAAAGGACCAGAAGAACACUAAAUUCUCUUCCCUUUUGAAAAAGGAUUUGAUAACACUAUCAAGGUGAGAUUUAGAGGCAAAUAGGGGCUCCAGGUAAGAUUUAAACAACUUGAAAUUUUAUACAAGUAUAUUUUCAUUAUAAUUAAUGAAUCCUCUUUUAAAAAACAGCCUGGCUGUUGUCAACUUCUGAUAAAAUAUACAAUUAUGGGAGUAUUUAUAAUUGAUAUAUUUGUAACAUAGUAUCUUUUCAGAUUUUCCUAAACUUUUACUCUAUCGACAUUUAUAGUGUUACCUGACAGGAGUUUUCCUUUAGAAGAAUGUUGUUCUUGUUUAAGUUAUAGGCUUGAUGAAAUACUUAAGGGAUAUCUUGGAAAUGUUAUAUAAAAAUGAUUAAACUCAAGCUGUGGACUGUAAAAAUUAUAGCUUUAUAGGCCACAUGCCUGCCUACCCUUCAAUCACUGUCAAAGUGAUAAUUUCUACAAUAAUAUGUUUCUUUUAUUGUGAGAUUCUAAACAUCAAGUGCUGUUUAAACAUUAAACUGAAUUGUUUAUGUUAGUGCUGUACUCAGCGUGUCAUACAUCAGGCCACCGUAAUCUCUCAUGGAAUGUAAAAUUCUGUCAUGAAUCAUGGCUUGUAUAUCGGAAAUUACUGUAAUUUUGAUUGGAAAUUACAGGGCUCUUGAAAUGUUUCUAAUUAUGAUAGAAUGUUAGAGCCGCUUUAAACCUGUGUGCUUCUUCAGAUGUCUUCAUUUACAUGCCAAGACUACGCAUUAAAGAGAAAUGUCCUGGUCUCACUUUACCCUCCCCCCCCACCUACUUGCCCACCCCACACAUCUUUGUUUUGGCUAUUUAGUCUAAUUAUGAUGAGGAUCUCAUAUUUAAAUAUAUAUUAUCUUGCCUUUCUUUCUGAUUCUGCAUUUUUGUUCUGACCUGUCCAAUCAUCAGUGAUAAUCAGACUGCAUUCCCACUUUCCCCAAAUCUCCGAAAUGGAGAAACUAGACAUGUAUUAUUAUAAUAGAGGUUAGCAUUAAAACAAAAAUUAAUAUUAAAACUUUUUAAUAACCGUAUUUAGUUGUCUGUCACCUGUCAUUCAAUUCAAUCUACCCCCACCCCCGCCACCAUUUUUCUUUCUGUUCCCUGUGAUUCUUAGAUCCUUUGCUAUCUUUGACUUCAUCCUUUUAAAUGGUACCUCAGGUUCUCCCAGUCCUGGGCUGAGUUACUGAUUUUGGAGCUGUUUAGACAGUAGCAGCAAUCGGCUGAUAAUGUCAUGUAGGUGAUGUUCUAAUCCAUUUUAAACAUCCCUGCUGUUUGUCCUCUGUCCUACACAGCUCCUGGUGGGUCUCUAUUUCAGCAAUGUCAGUAAGCAACUGCAGGCAUCUUCUGUGAUGGUGUGUUUUCCAAAACUCCAAAAGCUUUUAGCUAGUUAUUCAUUACUGGUUGAGAGAAAAUUAAAGGGGCCAACUGUGGGCUAUGGGAGUCAAGCAAACUAUUAACUUCAUUCCCUUGGAUAGUUAUUCUCAACUUCUAACUUAUUCCAAGGUCCUAAUAGAGCAUUUUUGUAGUUUUGUCUUAGUUGUUCAGUUUAAUGUUAGCACUACCCUGUUGAUGAAAAUAUGUACAAAGAUAGGUGAUUGCUCAAAAACUGAGACAAUCCAAAACCUGUGUGAAUCACUAGUAAACGAAACCUGACUUAAUCAGGAAAAGUGGCCAUUUGCUUAGCUUCUGUUCUCAUGCUAUGUUUUGUGAAGGAAACAGAAAAACAAAAACGAACAAACAAAAAAAAAACCAACCUUCAAAUCAGACUGACUUUUAUAAUGGUCAAAAUUUUGUGCUUCUAAAGUAUAUACAUUUAGGCCUCAGAUACGUGUGUCAGGGCUUGCCAGAAUGAGGCAGCAGCCCCUCAAGACAAAGGGUGUGUGAAGCAGGAAGAACCAGAGUCACUUCUGUCUAGCUCAUCUACUUCCAUCUGCUUCUGUGUCUUGCCCUGGUUGUCUGGGUUGACUUAACCAUUAUGUUUUUUGUGCUAGACCCUAUAAUGUAUUAUAGAUUAUCUACAUUAAUUUAGUAACCUUGUGAGCUAUUAUUUUCUUCAUUUUACACACGAGAGUUCCUUAACUAAUAAAUAUAACAGAGCCAAAUCCAAAUUCUUUGCAUUUCUCCUGUUUUAGACUGUCUUCAGGGUUCAGGGCAGCGUCAACACUAAAGUAAUACCCUGCUCUGGGGAAGAGGAAUUAAGGACAGUGGACUUAUUGAUAGUAGAAACAGUGAGGGCUUUCCUUUCUUCAUUGACAUUCAUGGAACACAAGGUUCUUACCAAAACAAAGCCUUCAGAAUCCAGAUUUUAUCAUACCGAAUGGAGGUAGGUGUACAUGGUGGAGGAGUCAAAGGAAACCAGCUCUGAUCCAUGCUGUGUCAUUGGUGCUAGAAUAUUGGGAAAUUUUAACUUUUGAACCCAGGAUUUUUUUUAACAUAGACGGUCACAUGCUACAAUGCAUGGAAAAGAGCUUUUAAAUUAUAUAGCUACUAUACCCAAAUGGUAACGUUUUAUAAUGUGCUAAGCAAGAGGUUCAGUCCUCCAAAUGGAUGAGAGAUUUAUUUAUCAUGUAUUUAUGUAUCAUAAAUACCUUCCAUUUUAAAAGGUAAAGCAUGCUCUGCAGUGACUAAUGCACAAAGUAUUUUCAGUAAAAGAAACCAACUCAUGUGGAUUCCACCAUUUCACAUGUAUUGUCUCCUCAAUGAAUAAUAGAUAUGGAAUUGUUUUUAACUCUGAUAGAAAUGUCUGAAUAAAAUAUGCAAGUAAAAACUGAAGGUGGGCUACUUUUUGUGCUUGGUUAGGAAAGCAGGCUAAUGCAAACUUUAAAAAGAUGAUAAGCUUUAAACAUAAUGUGAAUAGCUACAAAUGAAUACACUUUAUAUUCUGGGUAUUCAAAUAAGCAGCAGUUUUUCCAAGUGAAUCAUAUUGGAAUUUUAUCAAACAUUUAGUCUGAUAACAUUCAAAUAAUUAGGAGACCAGAAUUUGCUAAUUUUACUGUUUAAAAAAAAAUAGUUGAUUUGGGUAAUAACCAUUACGGUAUCAAGGUUCAGUUACUGUUCAUUGGUUAUAGUGUUUUCAUAUGGGAGAUGGAAAUGGAAUUUUUUCCUUAAUGGUGGCAGAUGUUGGAAUCUAAUUUUAUUCCACAGCAAACCCCUUGAGAGCCCUGAGACUUAAGGUGUGUGUCCAGCAAGGGGACAUUAGCAGCACCGUAGGCCUUGCCUUGUACACUGAAUUGUUACAUUGAUUUUCAUGUUUGCAUUGGUGGAGCCUGCAGAUACAGUAGUGCAGUAAGAGAGUAAAGGGCUUUCACAGAGCCAUGCUGCAUCAUCACUUGUGCUUAGAAAAUGAUUUCCUCUAGUGGUCUAUUGAACAACAUAUUUAUUUUGGGCAAAGCAACUAGCUGAUGAAAAUUCUAUUUGACUAACAUGCUUUUGAUAUAAUAUUUUGCAGUCUCUGAGUUGUAGUACUUUCUGGCUGCUAAAACUUUGGCUGAUUAAUAGGUAUGCUUUUUAAUAGUAAAAAAAAGAGCAUUUCUGACUCUGCUGAAAUAGCAUGACUUGCAGAAGAGACCAAAUAAUUUAAAGCCUUUUCUUUCAUCUACUUUUCAGUCGCUUUUGUUUGUCAUUGAGAUUCAGGGCCCCUAGGAUGAAAGAGAGGGAAAAAAGGAAGAAAGGAAAAGAAUACCUCCAUUUUCCUUAGCUUUGUAGGUGAACGAAAACAUCAUUCUGACCUUUAUGUUUGGAAAUUCUCGUAAUGAAUGUCUUAAGUGCAAGUAAGACGUAUGUCACAAAUCAUUGGGGCUAGAAAUAGGGCUGAAAAUAGAUCUAUAGUGACAAAAUCCAGGAAUAAAAUCAUGGAACCAUUGACAUUGCAUUCUGUAUGCUAGCAUGCUAGUGCAGGCAUCUUUUAUUUUGCUAGAAUUAAAUUACACUUCAGUUUGUAACUUUGUGCUAAUUAAUUCUUUUGGAAUGUUCAUGUAACAGACUUUGCUCCAACAGUUCACCUGUGUAGCCUCCUAUUUAAGGCACACAGGAGGCCUGCAGAUUUGAGAAUCAUGGUUUCUGUUAUUCCCAGUGCUACACCCUUUUCGUAGCAGUCUGUGGGAUCUUUACAUUGUGGCCUAAGGGCCCCUUUCCUUGGGCAAAUGAAGCUUUCUUUGGUCACUCUCUAAAAAGAGAACUACCCCUUUACAUGUACUCCAUCUAAAUGUGGAGGACACCCUGAAGGGGAUAUAGCUUCGGUUUCCCUGGACCCAUUUGCCUGGAAGAGGAAGAGGCAAGAGAAGUAUUUGUGGGGAAAACAAGAAGAGACAUAAAAUGGCCCAGAGUGUGGUCCCUGCAUCUCAGCAGGCUGCCGGUGUUAAGUUUAACACACAUCUUUGGAGGUGCCUACGCUCCAUUCUUGAGUAAGAAGGAUGUGGAUGGAGUUCAUCAGUCUCCUAUUUAAGGUGUUUUAUAUUAGUAGCCAUUUCUAAAAAUCUCUUAUGUCUUGAUCUUAGGAAUUAAUAUUGGGCUCAGUUUUCUAAAACGUUGACCUAUCUUUAUAUUUCUAGUUGAAUGCCAAACAGGACUUUUAAAAUUAAUGUCUUUAAAUAUUGACAUAAUCUAAUAGUUUGAAGGUACAUGAUUGUAUGUUAUAUGAUUUUUAAAGAGCUGGUUAAAUUUGUGAAUCUGAAUAUGCAUUGUUUUCAGAUUUCUGCUUCUAAAAAUAAGUAUGUUUGUUUUAGUAUAUCUAGGAUUUGAUCAAUGCGGACCAGAAUUAUUAAAUAGAACAGUUGCUUACCUAUCAUAUUUUUGGCUAAAAAGUCCUGCCAAGGGGUGAUUUAUCCCCUUGACACUUGGCAUUAUCUACUUUUAAAAAAUGAACAGAAGAUCUUUGGUUAUCAUGUUGCUACUUUGAAAUAAUUUAAAAUGUUCACCUUUUCCCCAUAAAUUUAGAAUUGAUUAACUGAAAGUCAAAUAUAUUUUUCUCUUCGACCCACUUAAUAAACUUAACUGUUACAAAUAUAGACAUAACUCAUUAAGCCUCAUUUCUCCAUCUUUAGAAGAUGUCAUAAGAAAAUUUUUAGAACAGAUUUGAAGAGAAUUAAUUUGUGAAUAUUGAGCCAGCUUUAAAGAGGUUCAUCAUGUGAGGAAAUAAAAGGAAGGUUGCUGCAAGAGUGGUUCCUUUACAGCAAUCCAGCAUGUAUAUUCUGAAGCAUGGCUAAGCCAACUAUUUAUUCAUAGAGCCUGCUUUAAUCUGAGAGCACCUUUUAUCCUAAAAUGUUAGUGUAAGCUGAAAAGGGUAAACUAAGAAUAUUUUAUAAUGUUUUCUGUUUUUGGAAGCUCUUCUAUAUUCAGUUUUGGCAGUUGAAGAGUGAGUUCUUCAGGACAGGUUCGGGUGUCUACAAAAAACAGCAAACCAACGAGUUUUCACUCCUAACAGGAAUUAGUCUUAAAACUGAGUGUCAUUAAGUUAAACUUAUUACACAACUAUAACACUGAUAUAAUCCUUUAACAAUCUACCAAGUUAGAAGAUAGUGCUUUUUCUCAAAAGUCUCAAUAGUUGUCUUUUAUGUUUUUGAUAAUGUAAGUAGGUUUUAUUUUAUCUUCUUUUUUCCUCACAUGAGAAAUGAAAAUAAAGACCCUGUGAAAUGAAUGAGCUAUGAAAAUGCAUUUAUGCAAAAUGACAAUAGAAAAAUAGCUCUGGAAGAAACUGUACCAUUAAAAUUUCACAUCAAUGAAAGGUGCUAAGAGAGGGAUGGAAGAACUUAUGUCAGUAAAAUGAAUCUAACAUAGAAAUUUUCUGCCCUGCCAAGAGUGUCAAUGUAUCUUAAAAAGUAACCUUAGAGAUGACUCAUUUUUCUAAGUAUACUUGUUAUGCUUCUUGAUAUGUAACCCAUUUGCUUGGCAGAAUGGCACAAAUCAUAGAUCACCAAUUUAAAAAUAUGUACCUAUAUUUUAAAGAUUAGUGUACGUAUAACUAUAAUUUAUAACUACAUAACAUGUAAAAAUAGAAGUUUCAAACCAUUUAUGGAAUCAACAUACAAUUGUCGAAUUGAUGAUGUUUUUUUCUCUAAGUCUUAAUCUACUUUGCUGUAUGUUAAUAGAAAAAUCUAUUCUCCUUUGAUUUUGGAUUCAACGAUUCCAGUUGCCUUUGUAUAUAUUUUUUUAACAAUUCCCUUUUCAACCAGGAUGCUUCAGAUAUUGGGUUUAAACACACUGUUUCAUAAACUGCCAGCCUCCUCGGCCGCCUCAGUGCCUCUGAUUCCGUAAAUCAGAUCAUAGGCAGCAUGCUGUCAUAUAAUAAGGUGUCUGAUCCUUAUUACCAGUUUGUUGAUGCACAGACUCCUUCAAAUUGACCAUUGCAACACAUGGUUUCCCCUGAAACUAGCUGUGAUAAUUAGCGUGGUUCUAAUGAGACAGAAUGUCACUGAUCUUGUGCUGAACUGUCGAGUAUCGACGCUACGGAUGGGAACUGUCAGAGCCUGCCAUCUGUGACAGUGCUUGGCAUAUUCCAGUGGCAAGGUAGAGCAUGCUCAAUAGAGUAUUUUCAAACAAAUGGCCCUUUUCUUGAUGAGGCCUCUGUUUUCUGUUCAACUGGAAGAAUGCAUGCCCCAACUCCGUCCUAUGUUAAACCCAUUCUGAGGUCCAAAUUCGAGUAAAUAUUUAAAUCUGUUACGUGUUACAUGAGAGAGGAAUCUUUUAUUUAACAGGUGAAUCUUAAGAGGCAUUUCUUUCCUUGUUUUUUUGUUUUCUUUUUGGCCUCUCUCAGUUGUCCCAUAUUGUCAGUUAACAGUAAAGCAGUCAUUUAAGAUACUUUUCCCCAAUUUUAAAAUUGCCUUGUUUAGAAGAGAUUUGUUGGGGAGUUGGGGAUGGCUCUUAGUGAUAAAGCAGUCUUAUUUAACAGAGGGAAAGGGGAAAUGAAAGAAGUAGUUCAGAAUGUGUAUAAGAAUACACAAGUUGGAUAGAAGAAUUAAAAUGGACAAGACAGUUAGAUCUGUCGGCUCCAGAGAAAAGUAGAGAUUUUUUGCUAUAGUAAAAGUCCAGCGCUGCUUAUCAUUCCAAAAUAUGCUUUGUUGCUUUUUAUUUCCUCCUCUCUGGCAGACCACACAGGGCUUGUUCUGAAGAACAUUUUCACUAAUCUGAUCAGGCAGCCAAAUACGCCGGGAAAACUGCUUUAAUGAUCCCACUAAUUACCUCAAGUCAAUAUGAACUGUAUUAUUAGACUGAGGGAAAAUAUUCCAUUAGGUCUCCCCCUUGGGAGUUUCUCCGCUUUGUGAUGUCACUGAAGCCUUCACCCUCUCGCUUGUAAUUAAUUUUAUUUACACACGCAGGCACGCACAAGGUCACACCUGCACAACCGGCGCUGGCCAGGGAGCUUGUGGCACUCCGGCUUAAUCAGAUCUGUCAUAAUUACCAUUCUGCAUGUUUCUGACACACGCUGUGAAAUAUUUCAAUUUAACUGCCGCUACCAGCACAACCAGAUGCAGUGCGAGUGUGGCUGCAUUGGAAAUAUUAUUCCUCAGGAUAAACUCUCUCCUCCUCCUUUUUCCUCCCAACCCCCCGCCCUUACAGCUAAUGUGGCACAGAAGCUGAUGUAUCCUGUAAAUCUUGAAUGCAGUGCUAGAUUGAUAACAGGCGAUUAGACAGUUUAACCACAAACAGCUUGUUCAUUUUUCACAAAUGAAAACCACAUGUGGUGUAACUAAAAUUUCAGGCCCCCCUUUUUUUUUUUUAAAAAAAAAAAAAAAAAGGUUGGGGUAUGUAUGUGUGUGUAAGAUGUUCUUAAGUAAAAAUAAAAUGCAAUCAAAAGAAGUUAUGUCUAGAAAAAUGGAGUUGUCUAGUUUUUUCCAGGUUAUUUUAUCAAAAAACCUUCAUCAAAUUCCAUUUUUAUACUUUCACCAAAAUUCAAAUGAGAAAAAGAUUGUGUUCUGUAUUGGGUUUUUCAUUUUUUUCUGUUUUUUUUUUUGUUUGUUUGUUUUGUUUUGUUUUCGGGAGUAGGGUGCAUAAUGGUCCUUGAUUCUAUGCCCUACUGUGUUUUCAGUGUUAAACUGUUUAUUUGAACAUAAAUUCUAAAAGGAUUUCUAAGAUUGGAUAUAGAAGUUUUGUUUUGUUUUUAAUGCAUAGUUGUAACUUUAGGCUUUAUAGUCAGAUACCAGGCAAUCGAAAAGCAAAAUGACCCCAAUUAGGAACUUUAUUUCAUAGAGACAUUUGCGGAUUUGUGUAAUUGAUUUGAAAGGCAGAGUUGGAAACCCUGAGGAUUCUGUUUUUAUAGAAAUUGGAGGUAACCUGGCAAAAUACAGGCACAGUAGGUAACUGUUUAAGGCUAAAGUUAUCACCAGUCUCAGAAGAAUCCCCUUGUAAAAAAUUGGAGCCAUAAGAAGGCAGAUAAGCUGGUGGAAAACUAAGGCUAAGAGAGGAGGAAGAAAUAGGAUCAGUGGUGCUUUAGAAUCAUACCUCCUGGAGCCAGCUCACAACAAUCCACUUUAGAGAAUAUUUAAAACAUAGAGAGAGCCUACUUAAAUAUCCUUUAACUCCAAAAAAAUACACUUUUUCUUUUUAUCUUUAUUUUUUUUUAUGACUUCAGUUAUGAACCUAGCUUGGAAGUUUCCUAGAAUGGUGGUGGUGAUUCCUGUUAUCUAUUGGAGAGAAGGUGUACUUUCCAAGGAAUAGUGGGUUUUUUUUUUGUUUUCUUACUCAUUUUCCCUCAUGCUUAGUAGUUUCCUCAUGUCGUGUUUCUUUUUUUUCUUUGUAUGAUCUUUGCUUCUUACUUUUUCUCUGGAGCUUUCUUCCUACUUAGUCUGGCUAUUUUCCAUGUGUUUUGUGUUUAUCCGUGAUGACUUUCAGCUUUAAAAUCUAAUAUUUUUUCUUUCUACUCAUAGUUUCUUUUGGCCUAAAUAUUACUUUAAAGGGAAAAUAAAGUACUGUCUUUGCCAUUUAGUUAGAACUCUUCUUCCAUCUAAGCUGCUAAAAAGUUCACAUAGUUAAUUUAGGUCAUUUGUUUCCCCAGUCUUAGUCUACUUUUUUAGUCAUUUUACAAGAUGCAGUUAUUGUAGAAAAUUUAAUGCAAUCCCCAUAUCACAACACUCUCCUAAUAACUACAGAUACCACCUCAGAGUCCUUCUUAACACAGAAGUAAAAAUACCCAUUGCUAAUCAGGGAGAUAAACCCAUCCCUGCCGUAGUCACUUGUAUUUUAGGAUUCCCAGAAGGGGGUUUGCUCUCCAAAGCAUGGUUGUGUGGGAUGAGUCUUAAGAAAUAAGAAAAGUGGAGGUAAAUCUGUGGUUUCAUUGCUAAUACCUUUGCUUUAAUAACCCGGAAGAUUUUUUGCACAGCUACUUGAAGGUAUGUUAGGGAUAAGCCAGCAUGCAAGUUGAAUCAUAUUUUGCAAUCCCUGGGUGGAGCUCACCGUUAAAAGGAGUCCUGAAUUGUGUCUUUGCAAAUGAAAGAUUUCACUUGCAAGAUAAAAAAUUAUCCCUUAGUUUUUCAUGUUCUCAAACAUUUUUGUAUAUUUGUAUUUCUUUGCCUGGCAUACCUGUUGAUAGAAAAGGGAACAGAGAAGAGAGGGGAAAAAAAGAUGCUCUUAGGGAUGCUAUUGUAUAUAUGGAGUUCAAGAUCAAUACUUUGAGUACAAAGAGCACAUCUUUUCAUUAAAUUGUAUUAGACUACAAGAAUCCCACAUUUCAAAGAAAAUAAUAUUUUAUGGACCCUUCUAGGUCCCUGUCUAAUAAGGAGACAUUUUUCAUUUGUUAACAAGUCACAGAUGAAGAGUUAAUAGAACUAUUACAAACUUUAUCUUGCCUCAACUCAAUCCACCAUCCUCAGUCACUCUGCAAUUGCUCUUGUCCAGUGCUCUCAAAUCCUCAUGAAAAUGUAUAGGAAGGAAAAGUGAUUCCUUUUAAUGUUGUUCGUUAUUUUCUUUUGGACCCACUGUCUUCAUUUUUCAUCAUUUGUUGAAGUCAUUGAUAUCAUUUGCAGUGUAGCCCAAACUGAAAGGAAUUAGAGGGCGUGACUCCUGAUUUUCUACAUAAUGUAGAAAUAAGGUAAUAGUAGCUAAUUUGCAAACUCGCCGAGGUUUUGCCUGACAAUUUGUACAUGAAUUGCAUCAUUCAGGGAAAACAUUGGGAAUUGCAAAGAGUGGUAGUCCUGAUUCCACCGCAAACCGGCUGUGCAGUCCCAGGGAAGCUAUUUAACCUCUCAGAGAUACUACUUCUUCAGGAAAGUAAAAUAGGUUGGGUCAUAUUGUAUCUAAUGUCCCUUGAAGUUCCACGUCUGUGUAUUUGUGACUGAGACAGGUACACAAGUGUGACUGAAGAAGCUAUUUUGAUUGAAGACACUCCUGACAGGUGUUCUAGUCUGGGAAACAUAAGGUAAGAUUUUGAAUAAUAGAAGGGCUUAGUUUGGGGGGUAGGUGGCAAAGUGAUAUUUUUGGGUGUAGAGCCAAGAAGGAUUAUUUACUCAUGGCACAUAAUGGGUAGAAUUGAUUGUUGGAAUCCAAUAUAUGAACUCCGUGUAACAUGGUGUGAGUUGAGCUUAUGAUUGAUACACUCUUCAUCUGAGACUUGUUGAUAGAUGACUGGGAACUCUUUCUUUUGUCCUGCAGGGACCUACCAGAGUCAGUACAUUAUAGGUUAUGAGAUGAGCUAAAUUCCAUUGGGGAAUGAGCUUGGUUUAACAUGUAGUAGGGUGGUGAUUGCUAGCUUGGUAUGAUUUGAAGGUUGCUGAAGAGUUUCCUCUUUAAAUAUGUCUCUUUUUUUGUUUUUCAAUUAAUGCCUGAACAUCUACCCUUAGCUGCUCUUUUUGUUUUAAUUGACUGACUGAUAGAAGCUUUUUCUGACAAUUAAAGACUUCAAUAGCACAUUAAAAAGAAAAAAAAAAAAAACGGCAAUGUGAGACUAAUAGAUUGAUGAGAAAUCACAGAUUUGGAAGAGAUUAGGGAGUAAACGCAAAGGAAAAGGAAGCAGGGAGUGACAGCUCAUUUGAGAGAAUAUCUUGAAACCCGUAUUUGCAAGUUUAUAAAUUGGCACCUGUAGCAUUUAAUAGCUGCUGAGAUGUGUCCAUCCCCAAAUGUCUCCUUUAAAUGUUUACCCAUUUUACUUAUGGUACCAACAGGAGUGCUACUUGUCAUGUGUGUUACUUGACUGGCUCAUUGAUGAAGUAUUUGGUUGUUUAAACGAAAUGCAGAUUAGGUAAAAAUAAAUUACUCUCAACAAGGUCAAGGAAGUGAAGGUUGUAAAUAAAAUACACAUUCACAAACAGACAAAUGCUAUUUGGAAAUUUAGCUCAGUCCUUGCCAAGCUGUUACUGUCUAAAUUACCUUCUUUCUUCCUGGCUUGCAAUUAAUUUUUGCUUAUAUGUUUGGAGAUUGGGGGAAGGGUAAUAGCCUAAUGGGUAAUGAUUUUAUUUUAGUAUUUUGAUUAAAGAGACUAAAUAGCUUGGACCCUGGAUAACCAUAAGGACGAAAGGCUUAUCCAUCAAGCCUAAUACCUAAGCAGAAGUUUAUGCUUGUAUUUCUGAGUAAAUUAGUGUUGAGCCACAUAUAAUAUAAAGUUAUGAGAUGGUUAUGUGCUCAAUUAUUUUCUACCUGUCUCCCCCCUUACCGCUUUUUCUACUCACUUUCUUUUCCUUCUUUGAUCUUCUGUUAGACUGGAGGACAAGGCAGAAGGCAGCUAGUCAGACAGGCAAAGACUGUAUAGCCAUGUACUCUUUAGGAAGCAGAGAUCACAGCAGGGCCCUGGUAUUGAUCACUGCUGGUUUCCUAGCAUUUGCAGAGCCACUCCCCUCCCUUACCCCACCCACCCACACAUCAGAUGCCCAUGCCACUCUUCCAUUCUGUAUCCUGCCUCUAUCCUGUAUCUGCCCUACUACCUAUGUCCCUCUAUUUGGAAAACCCCUGUGUCUUUGGAAAAACUUGUUGGUGUUCUGGCGGAUAGACAUUUCUGCAAGGAUACUCUGCUAAUCUUAUAUACCUUUAAAGUUACUUGGAUGAUAUGAUGUCAAUAACCCAGUAAGAAUUUAGAUGCUUGAUUCAGAAGUUGUAAACCCAUUCUCUGAGUUUGUAACAGGACCAGGAAAACAGUGAGGUAUAUAUGUGUUAGUGCAGUUGUAAACCAAGAAAUUGUCAGCUAUAGAACCCCUGUUUAAUUAAUGAACUGACAUAUAUAAAUCAGUUGAAAGUUUUCUCCAUUUCGAUUGACCUGAGGAUUGGGUGGUGGCAGAGACCUUCUCAUCAACCCCCUACCCUGCACAUACACGAUGAGGGUACUUCUGAAACACCUCUGAUGGAAACCCAAGACUGCUAAGGACACAGUCUAGGAACCCCUGUGCUAGUGACUGUUUUUCUCUAACCCAUCUCUAGGAGGCAUGGUCCUUUAGUGGCAAAAAAAAAAAAAGAAAUUGGUUUCA
Molecule: long non-coding RNA, 13199 nt
Organism: Sapajus apella (tufted capuchin)
Lineage: Eukaryota; Metazoa; Chordata; Mammalia; Primates; Cebidae
Exons: 2
Source: RefSeq, a predicted model, not a curated record